Molecule: ribosomal RNA, 379 nt
Filed under: uncultured organism
Description: partial 16S ribosomal RNA
Rfam family: Bacterial small subunit ribosomal RNA
Source: RNAcentral
GUAGGUGGCAAGCGUUGUCCGGAAUUAUUGGGCGUAAAGCGCGCGCAGGUGGGGGUUCGUUUAAGUCUGAUGUGAAAGACCCCCGGGCUCAACCGGGGAGGGUCAUUGGAAACUGGGGAACUUGAGUGCAGGAGAGGAAAGUGGAAUUCCACGUGUAGCGGUGAAAUGCGUAGAUAUGUGGAGGAACACCAGUGGCGAAGGCGACUUUCUGGCCUGUAACUGACACUGAGGCGCGAAAGCGUGGGGAGCAAACAGGAUUAGAUACCCUGGUAGUCCACGCCGUAAACGAUGAGUGCUAAGUGUUCGGGGGGGUUUCCGCCCCUCAGUGCUGCAGCUAACGCAUUAAGCACUCCGCCUGGGGAGUACGGUCGCAAGACUG